GGCUUUUCCCCUCUGCAGCCUUUUGUUUCCCUCUUUCUUCCUCUCCUGUCCUGACUGUGCAGAUCCUGGUUUUGGCCAGGUGAUUCAACUUCCCAAGCCCUUAUGUUUAUCAGACACCCCCCCAAAAGCCAGUUCAAUUCACUAACCCUGCAGAAAAGAAAAAAAUACAGCCACACUUUUUUUUUUGCCAUUAGUUGCCUACUGAUGAGCAGACUCCUGAAGGAAGCCCAAGCCCGUGCAAGACAAGCAGCAGGAAGAAGAGGCAGUGGAGAGAGGGAAGGGCUGGACUCUACCCCAAGUGGGGAGCCAGAGCUACUUUUAUCUUCACUGCAGCUGAUAAUUAUACCAGAAGAUGAAUCAGUUAAUUCUAUGUCAUUUUACCACUAUUCCGAUUGCUUUUACAUUGCACUUUUAAGACUCUUAAUGCAGACAGACUGGAACAUGGGAAAAAGAAGGGACAGUGCUUACUGCAAAUACUGAUGAAAGGACACCAUCAGAGUGUGAACAAACUGCCAAUUAAUUCCCCUGCAUAAAAGCAAGCAGGAUUGAACCUGUGAGGAAUUGGAAAGCUGUGCCUUAGAAGGCACUGUUCUGGGGAGAAGAAACAGGAUCAAAAGUUGCUAUGUCAACAUAACAUCACUGACCUGCCAGAGAAACAGAGCAUGCUGCAUACUCAUGCCUGGGGAAAAUACCUCGUCCCUACCUCCAUUAAAGGUUGUAAUAUGUCAAGUAGAAGAAUUAAUGUAGAAAAUCAGGUUUGUACUGUUCACAGAGCAAGACAGAAAAAGCCAAGUGUUUCAAUAAGAAAUCCAAAUCACAGCGAUCUGACCAGUUUGGGUGGUUAAAAUCUGAAGGAGGAAGAAGAGGAGACAAAAGCCCAGUCAGUCUGCAAAUAGCUAGAUUCAUUCAGAAUCUCUUCAUACUUAUCUUUUCCAUAUCACACAGUAUCAUAUUUUGUCUGUGCUUUGUAGGCAUAUGGUUUUCCAGACAUACAAUAAAGUCUUAUCACAAAGU
RNAcentral lists this long non-coding RNA (1014 nucleotides) under Gallus gallus (chicken). RNAcentral describes it as "lncRNA (ENSGALG00010008634.1)". The record is from RNAcentral. Lineage: Eukaryota; Metazoa; Chordata; Aves; Galliformes; Phasianidae.